UUUCGCAAUGCCCGAAAGGGUGACGAAGCGACGCCGCGUGUGGGAAGAAGGCCUUCGGGUUGUAAACCACUGUCGGGAGUUAAGAAAUGCAAGGAUAUGAAUAGUGUCUUUGCUUGACUAAGGCUCCGGAGGAAGCCACGGCUAACUCUGUGCCAGCAGCCGCGGUAAUACAGAGGCGGCAAGCGUUGUUCGGAAUUAUUGGGCGUAAAGAGCACGUAGGCGGCUAUGUAAGUCGGUUGUGAAAGCCUUCCGCUCAACGGGAGAACAGCAUCCGAUACUGCAUGGCUUGAGUGCGGGAGGGGAGAGUGGAACUUCUGGUGGAGCGGUGAAAUGCGUAGAUAUCAGAAGGAACGCCGGCGGCGAAAGCGGCUCUCUGGCCCAUAACUGACGCUGAGUGUGCGAAAGCUAGGGGAGCAAACGGGAUUAGAUACCCCGGUAGUCCUAGCCGUAAACGAUGGGCACUAAGUAGAGGGGGUU
This 477-nucleotide ribosomal RNA is filed under the name uncultured anaerobic ammonium-oxidizing bacterium. Its description in RNAcentral is "bacterial SSU rRNA". It matches the Rfam family "Bacterial small subunit ribosomal RNA", at positions 364 to 831 of the family's 1533-position model. The record is from RNAcentral.